AGUGAACGCUGGCGGUAGGCCUAACACAUGCAAGUCGAACGGCAGCACAGUAAGAGCUUGCUCGUACGGGUGGCGAGUGGCGGACGGGUGAGGAAUACAUCGGAAUCUACUUUUUCGUGGGGGAUAACGUAGGGAAACUUACGCUAAUACCGCAUACGACCUACGGGUGAAAGCAGGGGAUCUUCGGACCUUGCGCGAUUGAAUGAGCCGAUGUCGGAUUAGCUGGUUGGCGGGGUAAAGGCCCACCAAGGCCACGAUCCGUAGCUGGUCUGAGAGCAUGCGCCGCCACCCUGGCACUGAGAAACGGUCCAGACUCUUAGGGUAGGCAGCGGUGGGGAAUAUUGGACAAUGGGCGAAAGCCUGAUCCCGCCAUACCGGGUGGGUGCAGAAGGACUUCGGGUUGGAAAGCCAUUUUGUUGGGAAAGAAAAGCAGCAGGUUAAUAACGCGCUGUUCUGACGGUACCCAAAGAAUAAGCACCGGCUAACUUCGUG
This 492-nucleotide ribosomal RNA is filed under the name uncultured bacterium. Its description in RNAcentral is "partial 16S ribosomal RNA". It matches the Rfam family "Bacterial small subunit ribosomal RNA", at positions 29 to 507 of the family's 1533-position model. The record is from RNAcentral.